Molecule: ribosomal RNA, 636 nt
Filed under: Labronemella sp. Westplace 1
Lineage: Eukaryota; Metazoa; Nematoda; Enoplea; Dorylaimida; Qudsianematidae
Description: SSU rRNA
Rfam family: Eukaryotic small subunit ribosomal RNA
Source: RNAcentral
GGCGAUCAGAUACCGCCCUAGUUCUAACCGUAAACGAUGACAACCAGCGAUUAGUCGGCGUUAAUAUAUGACCCGACUAGCAGCUUCCGGGAAACCAAAGUUUUUCGUUUCCGGGGGAAGUAUGGUUGCAAAGCUGAAACUUAAAGGAAUUGACGGAAGGGCACCACCAGGAGUGGAGCCUGCGGCUUAAUUUGACUCAACACGGGAAAACUCACCCGGCCCGGACACCGUAAGGAUUGACAGACUGAGAGCUCUUUCUUAAUUCGGUGGGUGGUGGUGCAUGGCCGUUCUUAGUUGGUGGAGCGAUUUGUCUGGUUAAUUCCGAUAACGAACGAGACUCUGGCCUAUUAAAUAGGCGAUAUAUAGAAAAGUAUAUCGAACUUCUUAGAGGGACAAGCGGCGUCUAGCCGCAUGAAAUAGAGCAAUAACAGGUCUGUGAUGCCCUUAGAUGUCCGGGGCUGCACGCGCGCUACACUGAAAGAGUCAGAGUGCGUUUUACCUAGUUCGGAAGAACCGGGUAACCCAAGUAAAUUCUUUCGUGCUUGGGAUAGAGAAUUGCAAUUAUUUCUCUUAAACGAGGAAUUCCCAGUAAAUGCGGGUCAUAAGCUCGCGUUGAUUACGUCCCUGCCCUUUGUA